GAUGAACGCUGGCGGCGUGCCUAAUACAUGCAAGUCGAACGAAACUUCUUUAUCACCGAGUGCUUGCACUCACCGAUAAAGAGUUGAGUGGCGAACGGGUGAGUAACACGUGGGCAACCUGCCCAAAAGAGGGGGAUAACACUUGGAAACAGGUGCUAAUACCGCAUAACCAUAGUUACCGCAUGGUAACUAUGUAAAAGGUGGCUAUACUACCGCUUUUGGAUGGGCCCGCGGCGCAUUAGCUAGUUGAUAGGGUAAAGGCUUACCAAGGCAAUGAUGCGUAGCCGAAUUGAGAGGUUGAUCGGCCACAUUGGGACUGAGACACGGCCCAAACGCCUACGGGAGGCAGCAGUAGGGAAUCUUCCACAAUGGGCGAAAGCCUGAUGGAGCAACGCCGCGUGGGUGAAGAAGGUCUUCGGAUCGUAAAACCCUGUUGUUAGAGAAGAAAGUGCGUGAGAGUAACUGUUCACGUUUCGACGGUAUCUAACCAGAAAGCCACUGCUAACUACGUG
RNAcentral lists this ribosomal RNA (512 nucleotides) under uncultured bacterium. RNAcentral describes it as "partial 16S ribosomal RNA". It matches the Rfam family "Bacterial small subunit ribosomal RNA", at positions 28 to 507 of the family's 1533-position model. The record is from RNAcentral.